This 340-nucleotide ribosomal RNA is filed under the name Thermomonosporaceae bacterium ACTS151. RNAcentral's name for it is "bacterial SSU rRNA". It matches the Rfam family "Bacterial small subunit ribosomal RNA", at positions 19 to 359 of the family's 1533-position model. The record is from RNAcentral. Lineage: Bacteria; Bacillati; Actinomycetota; Actinomycetes; Streptosporangiales; Thermomonosporaceae.
CUGGCUCAGGACGAACGCUGGCGGCGUGCUUAACACAUGCAAGUCGAGCGGAAAGGCCCCUUCGGGGGUACUCGAGCGGCGAACGGGUGAGUAACACGUGAGUAACCUGCCCCUGACUCUGGGAUAAGCCUGGGAAACCGGGUCUAAUACCGGAUACGACCACUCCGGGCAUCCGGUGGUGGUGGAAAGAUUUUUUCGGUCGGGGAUGGGCUCGCGGCCUAUCAGCUUGUUGGUGGGGUGACGGCCUACCAAGGCGACGACGGGUAGCCGGCCUGAGAGGGCGACCGGCCACACUGGGAUUGAGACACGGCCCAGACUCCUACGGGAGGCAGCAGUGGGG